RNAcentral lists this ribosomal RNA (490 nucleotides) under uncultured bacterium. RNAcentral's name for it is "partial 16S ribosomal RNA". It matches the Rfam family "Bacterial small subunit ribosomal RNA", at positions 30 to 507 of the family's 1533-position model. The record is from RNAcentral.
AUUGAACGCUGGCGGCAGGCCUAACACAUGCAAGUCGAACGGUAACAGGAAGAAGCUUGCUUCUUUGCUGACGAGUGGCGGACGGGUGAGUAAUGUCUGGGAAACUGCCUGAUGGAGGGGGAUAACUACUGGAAACGGUAGCUAAUACCGCAUAACGUCGCAAGACCAAAGAGGGGGACCUUCGGGCCUCUUGCCAUCGGAUGUGCCCAGAUGGGAUUGGCUAGUAGGUGGGGUAACGGCUCACCUAGGCGACGAUCCCUAGCUGGUCUGAGAGGAUGACCAGCCACGCUGGAACUGAGACACGGUCCAGACUCCUACGGGAGGCAGCAGUGGGGAAUAUUGCACAAUGGGCGCAAGCCUGAUGCAGCCAUGCCGCGUGUAUGAAGAAGGCCUUCGGGUUGUAAAGUACUUUCAGCGGGGAGGAAGGGAGUAAAGUUAAUACCUUUGCUCAUUGACGUUACCCGCAGAAGAAGCACCGGCUAACUCCGUG